RNAcentral lists this ribosomal RNA (71 nucleotides) under Shewanella colwelliana. The record is from RNAcentral. Lineage: Bacteria; Pseudomonadati; Pseudomonadota; Gammaproteobacteria; Alteromonadales; Shewanellaceae.
UCUGGAAACCAUAGCAUUGUGGCCCCACCUGAUCCCAUCCCGAACUCAGAAGUGAAACGCAAUCGCGCCGA